AUUGAACGCUGGCGGCAUGCCUAACACAUGCAAGUCGAACGCGUGGCGGGCGGGUGAAUAAUGUCUGGGAAACUGCCUGAUGGGGGGGGAUCACUACUGAAAACUGUAGCUAAAACCGCAAAACCUCAUGUGUGCCCAGAUGGGUUUAGCUAGUUGGUGGGGUAACGGCUCACCAAGGCGACGAUCCCUAGCUGGUCUGAGAGGAUGACCAGCCACACUGGAACUGAGACACGGUCCAGAGUCCUACGGGAGGCAGCAGUGGGUAAUAUUGCACAAUGGGCGCAAGCCUGAUGCAGCCAUGCCGCGUGUAUGAAGAAGGCCUUCGGGUUGUAAAGUACUUUCAGCGGGGAGGCGUUACCCGCAGAAGAAGCACCGGCUAACUCCGUGCCAGCCGCCGCGGUAAUUC
Molecule: ribosomal RNA, 406 nt
Filed under: uncultured bacterium
Lineage: Bacteria
Description: partial 16S ribosomal RNA
Rfam family: Bacterial small subunit ribosomal RNA
Source: RNAcentral